UUUCCCCAAAAUCAUUAGUGCCAGAGGACGAAAAGAAUAAAAACAUCCAGAAAACACACAAAACCAUACCCAAAAAGCCUAAAGUAGAGUGGGCGAAGGAGCAGAUGAAACAACACAGAGACCGGAUGGUGAGAGGCAGAGCGCUCACCGAGCAGAGAAAGGACCAGAAGAAGACGCCAAUGUUAACCAGCCACGCCCGCCCUCACUUAAAACCCAAAGGGAAGAAAAAGGAAAAGAAAGAGUUUGAAAAGGUCAUAGCUUAUCCCAUCUACCAGCCUUCCAACGAAUCACUUAUAGAAGUGACAGUUCUGAUGGAAAAGUCGAAGGCGGAAAACGUACAAAAACCACUCCAAAGGGAACUCCUGAGUAUGCCACCAUUUUUGAAAAGUCAACUAAAGAGAAAUAAAAAGCUUAAGCCA
RNAcentral lists this long non-coding RNA (419 nucleotides) under Rattus norvegicus (Norway rat). RNAcentral describes it as "long non-coding RNA NONRATT001264". The record is from RNAcentral. Lineage: Eukaryota; Metazoa; Chordata; Mammalia; Rodentia; Muridae.